This 479-nucleotide ribosomal RNA is filed under the name uncultured bacterium. RNAcentral describes it as "bacterial SSU rRNA". It matches the Rfam family "Bacterial small subunit ribosomal RNA", at positions 8 to 507 of the family's 1533-position model. The record is from RNAcentral.
AGAGUUUGAUCAUGGCUCAGAAUGAACGCUGGCGGCGUGCCUAACACAUGCAAGUCGAGCGAGAAAGUUCCUUCGGGAAUGAUAAGUGUAGAGUACACGAGCGGCGGACGGGUGAGUAACACGUGGGAAUCUACCCCCAAAACUGAGGGAUAAGCAUCGGAAACGGUGUCUAAUACCGCAUAUGGUCUUCGGAUUAAAGCUUCGGCGGUUUGGGAAGAGCCCGCGUAAGAUUAGCUAGUUGGUGAGGUAAUGGCCCACCAAGGCGACGAUCUUUAGCUGGUUUGAGAGGAUGAUCAGCCACACUGGAACUGAGACACGGUCCAGACUCCUACGGGAGGCAGCAGUUAGGAAUUUUCCACAAUGGGGGCAACCCUGAUGGAGCAACGCCGCGUGCAGGAUGAAGGUUUUCGGAUUGUAAACUGCUUUUGUACGUGAAGAAUAUGACGGUAGCGUACGAAUAAGGAUCGGCUAACUCCGUG